GGUCCCGUAGUCCAAUGGAUAGGACGAUGGUCUCCGAAGCCGUAGGUGGUGGUUCGAUUCCACCCGGGACCA
Molecule: transfer RNA, 72 nt
Filed under: Verrucomicrobiaceae bacterium
Lineage: Bacteria; Pseudomonadati; Verrucomicrobiota; Verrucomicrobiia; Verrucomicrobiales; Verrucomicrobiaceae
Also listed under: 1 other name
Description: tRNA-Arg
Rfam family: tRNA
About the family: Transfer RNA (tRNA) molecules are approximately 80 nucleotides in length.
Source: RNAcentral